Molecule: ribosomal RNA, 748 nt
Filed under: uncultured Planctomycetota bacterium
Lineage: Bacteria; Pseudomonadati; Planctomycetota
Description: bacterial SSU rRNA
Rfam family: Bacterial small subunit ribosomal RNA
Source: RNAcentral
UGGUGAAAUCCCCCGGCUCAACCGGGGAACUGCCUUUGAUACUGGUGGUCUGGAGUAAGGUAGGGGCAUGCGGAACUGAUGGUGGAGCGGUGAAAUGUGUUGAUAUCAUCAGGAACUCCGGUGGCGAAAGCGGCGUGCUGGACCUUUACUGACGCUGAGGCGCGAAAGCCAGGGGAGCAAACGGGAUUAGAUACCCCGGUAGUCCUGGCCCUAAACGAUGGGUACUAGGUAGUAGGCUUGACAUGGGUUUACUGCCGGAGCAAAAGUGCUAAGUACCCCGCCUGGGGAGUAUGGUCGCAAGGCUGAAACUCAAAGAAAUUGACGGGGGCUCACACAAGCGGUGGAGCAUGUGGCUUAAUUCGAGGCUACGCGAAGAACCUUAUCCUGGACUUGACAUAUGCGAAAGCGUUGGGAGGUAGGACUCGGAAACGAGAACGAACGGUAUCCAAUCCGGAACCCAAUACAGGUGCUGCAUGGCUGUCGUCAGCUCGUGUCGUGAGAUGUCGGGUUAAGUCCCAUAACGAGCGAAACCCCUGCCCUUAGUUGCUAGGCGCAAGCCGAGGACUCUAGGGGGACUGCCGGUGUCAAACCGGAGGAAGGUGGGGAUGACGUCAAGUCCUCAUGGCCUUUAUGUCCAGGGCUGCACACGUGCUACAAUGGCGUGAACAAAGGGACGCAAACCCGCGAGGGGGAGCAAAUCCCAAAAAACACGCCCCAGUUCAGAUCGAAGGCUGCAACUCGCCUUCGU